GCUCCCCGCCCCGAUGCGGAGAAGCAAGAGGGGGGCAAGGAGGAAGGGCAGGAGAAAGACGAGAAGGAGCAGGACGGCGAGAAGGGGGAGGAAGAGAAGACAGACAAGAGGGAGAAAGAGGAGGAAGAGGAAGAGGAAGAGGAAGAAGACUCGGCGGCCCUGAUGGAGCGGCUCUGCAAGUUCAUCUACGCCAAGGACCGCACCGACCGCAUCCGCACCUGCGCCAUCCUCUGCCACAUCUACCACCACGCGCUGCACUCGCGCUGGUUCCAGGCCCGCGACCUCAUGCUCAUGUCCCACCUCCAGGACAACAUCCACCACGCCGACCCCCCCGUGCAGGUGGGGCCCGCUUGUGGGGCGCUGUGGGGCGAUAACGGGGUGGUACGGGGUCCCUAUGGGGCUCUAUGGGGUCCCUGUGGGGCUCCAUGGGGUCUACAGGUCUCUAUGGGGUCCCUAUGGAUCUCUAUGGGGUCUCUGUGGGGCUCUAUGGGGCUCUAUGGGGUCUACAGGUCUCUAUGGAGUCUCUCUGGGCCCCUAUGGGGUCCCUAUGGGGCUCUAUGGGGUCUCUAUGGGGCUCUAUGGGGUCCCUAUGGGGCUCUAUGGGGUCUACAGGUCUCUAUGGGUCACUAUGGGGUCCCUAUGGGGCUCUAUGGGGUCUCUAUGGGGCUCUGUGGGGCUCUAUGGGGUCCCUAUGGGGCUCUAUGGGGUCCCUAUGGGGCUCUAUGAGGUCCCUAUGGGGCUCUGGGGGGGCUAUGUGUGGCCACAAGGGGUCCCUAUGGGGCUCUAUGGUGUCUGCAGGUCUCUAUGGGUCACUAUGGGGUCGCUAUGGGGUCCCUAUGGGGUCUGUGGGGCUCUAUGGGGUCCCUAUGGGGCUCGAUGGGGCUCUAUGGGGUCCCUAUGGGGCUCUAGGGGGUCUCUAUGGGGCUCUAGGGGGUCUACAGGACUCUAUGGGUCACUAUGGGGUCCCUAUGGGCCACUAUGGGGUCCCUAUGGGCCACUAUGGGGUCCCUGUGGGGCGCUAUGGGGUCCCUAUGGGGUCCCUAAGGGGCUCUAUGGGGUCCCUAAGGGGCUCUAUGGGGUCCCUAUGGGGCUCUAUGGGGUCUCUGUGGGGCUCUAUGGGUUCUACAGGUCUGUAUAGGUCACUAU
Molecule: long non-coding RNA, 1146 nt
Filed under: Numida meleagris (helmeted guineafowl)
Lineage: Eukaryota; Metazoa; Chordata; Aves; Galliformes; Numididae
Description: lncRNA (ENSNMEG00000003819.1)
Source: RNAcentral